UGGGGAAUAUUGGACAAUGGGGGAAACCCUGAUCCAGCGACGUCGCGUGAGUGAAGAAGUAUUUCGGUAUGUAAAGCUCUAUCAGCAGGGAAGAAAAUGACGGUACCUGACUAAGAAGCCCCGGCUAACUACGUGCCAGCAGCCGCGGUAAUACGUAGGGGGCAAGCGUUAUCCGGAUUUACUGGGUGUAAAGGGAGCGUAGACGGCACUGCAAGUCUGGAGUGAAAGCCCGGGGCUCAACCCCGGGACUGCUUUGGAAACUGUGGUGCUGGAGUGCAGGAGAGGUAAGUGGAAUUCCUAGUGUAGCGGUGAAAUGCGUAGAUAUUAGGAGGAACACCAGUGGCGAAGGCGGCUUACUGGACUGUAACUGACGUUGAGGCUCGAAAGCGUGGGGAGCAAACA
Molecule: ribosomal RNA, 402 nt
Filed under: uncultured bacterium
Lineage: Bacteria
Description: bacterial SSU rRNA
Rfam family: Bacterial small subunit ribosomal RNA
Source: RNAcentral